GGAUACGUUUUUAGUAUUUGAUGUUAGGUUCAACAUUCCCUCCGGUAGGACUGCAACCAUUUUCAGUACUUGGCCAAAUAACACUCUGAAACAGCUUGGAUAGAGUGAAACCUUCUUUAUGAACAGAUUGUGAUCUAUAGAGGGCUUGCAGAUGCGUUAUGGUGGAAGACCAAAGUCCUCCAAUCGUUCACAUGGCUGGCUGCGUUUUGCUACCACCGGAAACUUUGGGAAUAUUGCCCAUUAUUUAGUUUGUCUAAGGACCCAGAAAACGGAGGCAGUGGGAGAACCUAUUCAAGUACAAAGAGCUGUGAAACCCUGUCUGCAGAUGGUCCCAAGAGAAUAAGGGGCCAUUCUUGUAUACCAUGGAUUAUAUGUGUACCUAGGUUCGCAAAUUUAGUGAACAAAAAUACAGUAUUUGUCACACAAUGUAUAAACCUAUUACAACUGGAGCAGGCCAACCCUGCUGGGUGUGCAGGCUUCUGUUUCAACACACCUGAUUCAAAUCCAAUUUUAUUUGUCACAUACACAUGGUUAGCAGAUGUUAACAAUUCCCCAACAAGUAUCUAAUACACACAAAUCUAAAAGGGUGAAUGAGAAUAUGUACAUGUAAGUAUAUGGAUGAGCGGUGGCCUAGCGGCAUAGGCAAGAUGCAAUAGAUGGUAUAAAAUACAGUAUAUACACUACCGUUCAAAAGUUUGGGGUCACGUAGAAAUAUCCUUGUUUUUAAAGGAAAGCACAUUUGUCUGUUAAAAUUGAUCAGAAAUACAGUGUAGACAUUGUUAAUGUUGUAAAUGACUAUUGUAGCUGGAAACGGCAAAUUUUUGAUUUAAGAAGAAAUAAAACUGGCCUUUUCUAAUACUACUUGAGUAUCUGGAGCAUCAGCAUUUGUGGGUUCGAUUACAGGCUCAAAAUGGCUAGAAACAAAUAACUUUCUUCUGUUUUGACAUUAACAAUGUCUACACUGUAUUUCUGAUCAAUUUGAUGUUAUUUUAAAGGACAAAACAUUAGCUUUUCUUUCAAAAACAAGGACAUUUCUAAGUGACCCCAAACUUUUGAACGGUAGUGUACAUGUGAUAUGAGUAAUGUAAGAUAUGUAAACAUAAUUAAAGUGGCAUUGUAUGAAGUGACUAGUGAUCCAUUUAUUAAAGUGGUCAGUGAUGUAGACAGCAGCCUCUCUGAGGUAGUGAUUGCUGUUUACCAGUCUGAUGGCCCUGAGAUAGAACCUGUUUUUCAGUCUCUCGGUCCCAGCUUUGAUGCACCUGUACUGACAUCGCCUUCCGGAUGGUAGCGGUGUGAACAGGCAGUGGCUCGGGUGGUUGUUUUCCUUGAUGAUCUUUUUGGCCUUCCUAUAGGUGUCAUGAAGGGCGGGUAGUUUGCCCCCGGUGAUGCGUUAUGCAGACCGCACCACCCUCUGGACAGCCUUGCGGUUGAGGGCAGUGCAGUUGUGAUACAGCCCGACAGGAUGCUCUCGAUUGUGCAUCUGUUAAAGUUUGUCAGGGUUUUGGGUGACAAGCCAAAUUUCUUCAGCCUCCUGAGGUUGAAGAAGCGUUGUUGUGCCUUCUUCACCACACUGUCUGUGUGGGUGGACCAUUUCAGAUUGUCUGUGAUGUAUAUGCCGAGGAACUUAACUUUCCACCUUCACUGCUGUCCCUUCGAUGUGGAUCGGGGGGUGCUCCCUCUGCUGUUUCCUGAAGUCCACGAUCAUCUCCUUUGUUUUGUUGACGUUGAGUGAGAGGUUGUUUUCCUGACACCACACUCCGAGUGCCUUCACCUCCUCCCUGUAGCCUGUCUCGUUGUUGGUGAUCAAGCCCACUACUGUUGUGUCGUCUGCAAACUUGAUGAUUGAGUUGGAGGCGUGCAUGUCCACGCAGUUGUGGGUGAACAAGGAGUACAGAAGGGGGCUGAGCACGCACUCUUGUGAGGCCCCAGUGUUGAGGGUCAGCAAAGUGGAGAUGUUGUUUCCUACUUUCCCCACUUGGGGGCGGCCCCUCAGAACGUCCAGGAUCCAAUUCACAGGGUGGGGUUGAGACACAGGGCCUCCAGCUUGAUGAUCAGUUUGGAGGGCACUAUAGUGUUGAAUGCUGAGCUGUAGUCAAUGAACAGCAUUCUUACAUAGGUAUUCCUUUUGUCCAGGUGGGAUAGGGCAGUGUGAUGGCGAUUGCGUCGUCUGUGGACCUGUUGGGGCGGUAUGCAAACUGAAGUGGGUCUAGUGUGACAGGUAAAGGUGGAGGUGAUAUGAUCUUUGACUAGUCUCUCAAAACACUUCAUGAUGAUAGAAGUGAGUGCUACGGGGCAGUAGUCAUUUAGUUCAGUUAUCUUUGCAUUUGGUACAGGGACAAUGGUAGCCAUCUUGACGCAUAUGGGGACAACAGACUGGGAUAGAGAGCAAUAAACACAGCAUCAAUGUAUCGAACAUAAAUAGUUAAUAAUCAAGUGUGCUAUUGCUGGCCUGGAACAAGUCUGCUCACCCAGUAAAUCAGGGGUCAGUGGAGCGAGGUUAGCCACUUCUGGUAUUGACUUUUUUUUGUUCCCUUGAAAAUAUGCUUUAAUAGUAAUAGCCUGCUUGUUACUAAAAUGUCAAACCUUUACAUAUGAGUUAGCUUACUUAUACACUUUGAAAUUAUAUGAAAUAGUGUUGAUUCUUUGAAGUGUUUAAAGUUGUUUUAAUUGUUAAGUGAACUAUUAUUCAAGGAUAACGAGUGUCGAUGUUGAUUAAUCACAGAUCACAAUCCUGCAAUAAAGAGGGGACUAUGUCUCUAA
Oncorhynchus nerka (sockeye salmon) is the source of this 2760-nucleotide long non-coding RNA. RefSeq lists it as uncharacterized. The record is from RefSeq and is a predicted model, not a curated record. The transcript has 2 exons. NCBI's taxonomy places the organism in Eukaryota, Metazoa, Chordata, Actinopteri, Salmoniformes, Salmonidae.